RNAcentral lists this ribosomal RNA (425 nucleotides) under uncultured bacterium. RNAcentral describes it as "partial 16S ribosomal RNA". It matches the Rfam family "Bacterial small subunit ribosomal RNA", at positions 354 to 796 of the family's 1533-position model. The record is from RNAcentral.
GUGGGGAAUAUUGGACAAUGGGCGCAAGCCUGAUCCAGCCAUGCCGCGUGAGUGAUGAAGGCCCUAGGGUUGUAAAGCUCUUUCAGUGGGGACGAUAAUGACGGUACCCACAGAAGAAGCCCCGGCUAACUUCGUGCCAGCAGCCGCGGUAAUACGAAGGGGGCUAGCGUUGUUCGGAUUUACUGGGCGUAAAGCGCACGUAGGCGGAUCGUUAAGUCGAGGGUGAAAUCCUGGAGCUCAACUCCAGAACUGCCUUCGAUACUGGCGAUCUUGAGUCCGGAAGAGGUGAGUGGAACUCCUAGUGUAGAGGUGGAAUUCGUAGAUAUUAGGAAGAACACCAGUGGCGAAGGCGGCUCACUGGUCCGGUACUGACGCUGAGGUACGAAAGCAUGGGGAGCAAACAGGAUUAGAAACCCUGGUAGUCC